RNAcentral lists this ribosomal RNA (954 nucleotides) under Adropion sp. n. 2 PG-2020. RNAcentral describes it as "SSU rRNA". It matches the Rfam family "Eukaryotic small subunit ribosomal RNA", at positions 121 to 1076 of the family's 1831-position model. Lineage: Eukaryota; Metazoa; Tardigrada; Eutardigrada; Parachela; Hypsibiidae. The record is from RNAcentral.
UAGAUCGUAUAGUUUACACGGAUAACUGUGGUAAUUCUAGAGCUAAUACGUGCAUGUAGCCUGUACCCUCGUGGUGCAGGCGCAGUUAUUUGCUCAAAACCGAUUCAGCCCUCGGGUUGAUUAAUUGGUGAUUCUGAAUAACCGAAGCGAAGCGCGUGGUCUCGUACCGGCGCUAGAUCUUUCAAGUGUCUGACUUAUCAGCUUGUUGUUAGGUUAUGUUCCUAACAAGGCUUUCACGGGUAACGGAGUGUCAGGGCCCGACACCGGAGAGGGAGCCUGAGAAACGGCUACCACAUCCAAGGAAGGCAGCAGGCGCGCAAAUUACCCACUCCCGGCACGGGGAGGUAGUGACGAAAAAUAACGAUGCGAGAGCUUUAAUGCUUCUCGUAAUCGGAAUGGGUACAUUUUAAAUCCCUUAACGAGGAUCUAUUGGAGGGCAAGUCUGGUGCCAGCAGCCGCGGUAAUUCCAGCUCCAAUAGCGUAUAUUAAAGUUGCUGCGGUUAAAAAGCUCGUAGUUGGAUCUGGGCAGUCGAUGGGCGGUGCGCUUUACGGCGUUACUGUUCGUUCGGCGCCACAUGCCGGCCAUGUCUUGCAUGCUCUUCACUGAGUGUGCUUGGCGACCGGAACGUUUACUUUGAAAAAAUUAGAGUGCUCAAAGCAGGCGUUCAGCCUUGCAUAAUGGUGCAUGGAAUAAUAAAAUAAGACCUUGGUUCUAUUUUGUUGGUUUUCGGAGCUCAAGGUAAUGAUAAAUAGGAACAGACGGGGGCAUUCGUAUUGCGGCGUUAGAGGUGAAAUUCUUGGAUCGUCGCAAGACGCACUACUGCGAAAGCAUUUGCCAAGAAUGUUUUCAUUAAUCAAGAACGAAAGUUAGAGGUUCGAAGGCGAUCAGAUACCGCCCUAGUUCUAACCAUAAACGAUGCCAACCAGCGAUCCGUCGGUGUUUAUUUGAUGACU